Long non-coding RNA from Perca flavescens (yellow perch), 240 nucleotides. RefSeq lists it as uncharacterized. The record is from RefSeq and is a predicted model, not a curated record. NCBI's taxonomy places the organism in Eukaryota, Metazoa, Chordata, Actinopteri, Perciformes, Percidae. The transcript is spliced from 3 exons.
CCCCCCUCCCCUCAGAGGGCUGACGGAGACGCUGCUGCAGGACUUUGAGGAGAGACGAGUCAAAGAGAAGCUGGAUGAGAGCGCAUACGCAGGGAUUCAGCUGGUCGACGACGUGAAUAAUGAGGUCAUUGAGUCGACUCGAGUGACUCGACAUAAAAACAAACGUGCUCUGCAGUGGGAGGCCGGAGAGUUCGCCAACCAGGCGGACCGCUGAGACCUGAUCCUGGUUCUGGUCCUGGU